UUGUCUCAAAGAUUAAGCCAUGCAUGUCUCAGUACAAGCCGAAUUAAGGUGAAACCGCGAAAGGCUCAUUAAAUCAGUUAUGGUUCCUUAGAUCGUACCAACAUUUACUUGGAUAACUGUGGUAAUUCUAGAGCUAAUACAUGCAAACAGAAGCUCCAACCGGAGACGGAAGGAGCGCUUUUAUUAGAUCAAAACCAAUCGGUGGCGGGUUCGCUCGUCAUCGUACAACUUGGUGACUCUGAAUAACUUUAAGCUGAUCGCACGGUCUCGCACCGGCGACGCAUCUUUCAAAUGUCUGCCUUAUCAACUGUCGAUGGUAGGUUCUGCGCCUACCAUGGUUGUAACGGGUAACGGGGAAUCAGGGUUCGAUUCCGGAGAGGGAGCCUGAGAAACGGCUACCACAUCCAAGGAAGGCAGCAGGCGCGCAAAUUACCCACUCCCGGCACGGGGAGGUAGUGACGAAAAAUAACGAUACGGGACUCAUCCGAGGCCCCGUAAUCGGAAUGAGUACACUCUCAACCC
Molecule: ribosomal RNA, 522 nt
Filed under: Diplocoelus sp. G0097
Lineage: Eukaryota; Metazoa; Arthropoda; Insecta; Coleoptera; Biphyllidae
Description: SSU rRNA
Rfam family: Eukaryotic small subunit ribosomal RNA
Source: RNAcentral